Molecule: RNase P RNA, 401 nt
Filed under: Nitrospirae bacterium CG2_30_41_42
Lineage: Bacteria; Pseudomonadati; Nitrospirota
Also listed under: 6 other names
Description: RNase P RNA component class A
Rfam family: Bacterial RNase P class A
About the family: Ribonuclease P (RNase P) is a ubiquitous endoribonuclease, found in archaea, bacteria and eukarya as well as chloroplasts and mitochondria. Its best characterised activity is the generation of mature 5'-ends of tRNAs by cleaving the 5'-leader elements of precursor-tRNAs.
Source: RNAcentral
AGAGCAGGAGAGGUGGUCGCCCCGCACUUCUGAAAAAAGUGCGGAGAGGAAAGUCCGAACUCUACAGGGCAAGGCGCUCCAUAAUACGGAGUGGGGGUAACCCCAAGGAAAGUGCCACAGAAAGGGAAACCGUCCCGCACUUUUUUCAGAAGUGCGGGGUAAGGGUGAAAAGGUGAGGUAAGAGCUCACCAGUUGAGAUGGCAACAUCUUAAGCUUGGAAAACCCCGCCUUGAGCAAGGUCGAAUAGGUUCCGCCUGGAGAAGGGCCCCUUCGAAUCCCCGUCCCGACUUUGUCGGGAUCGAGGAGGCGGAAUGGGUAGCGACCGCAAGAGUCUGGUGGCAACACCGGACCUUAGAUGAAUGACCACGCAAACAGAACUCGGCUUAUAGCCUGCUCUGACA